Molecule: transfer RNA, 73 nt
Filed under: Ictidomys tridecemlineatus (thirteen-lined ground squirrel)
Lineage: Eukaryota; Metazoa; Chordata; Mammalia; Rodentia; Sciuridae
Also listed under: 1 other name
Description: Spermophilus tridecemlineatus (thirteen-lined ground squirrel) tRNA
Rfam family: tRNA
About the family: Transfer RNA (tRNA) molecules are approximately 80 nucleotides in length.
Source: Rfam by way of RNAcentral
GAAGGUGUAGCUCAGUGGUAGAGUACUUGCCUAGCAAUGUGCAAGGCCCUGGGUUCAAUCCCCAGCACCACCA